RNAcentral lists this ribosomal RNA (2517 nucleotides) under Klebsiella quasipneumoniae subsp. similipneumoniae. Its description in RNAcentral is "bacterial LSU rRNA". It matches the Rfam family "Bacterial large subunit ribosomal RNA", at positions 296 to 2812 of the family's 2925-position model. Lineage: Bacteria; Pseudomonadati; Pseudomonadota; Gammaproteobacteria; Enterobacterales; Enterobacteriaceae. The record is from RNAcentral.
CCAGAGUCUGAAUCAGCUUGUGUGUUAGUGGAACGGUCUGGAAAGUCCGACGGUACAGGGUGAUAGUCCCGUACACCAAAAUGCACAGGUUGUGAACUCGAAGAGUAGGGCGGGACACGUGGUAUCCUGUCUGAAUAUGGGGGGACCAUCCUCCAAGGCUAAAUACUCCUGACUGACCGAUAGUGAACCAGUACCGUGAGGGAAAGGCGAAAAGAACCCCGGCGAGGGGAGUGAAAAAGAACCUGAAACCGUGUACGUACAAGCAGUGGGAGCACCUUCGGGUGUGACUGCGUACCUUUUGUAUAAUGGGUCAGCGACUUAUAUUCUGUAGCAAGGUUAACCGUAUAGGGGAGCCGCAGGGAAACCGAGUCUUAACUGGGCGUUAAGUUGCAGGGUAUAGACCCGAAACCCGGUGAUCUAGCCAUGGGCAGGUUGAAGGUUGGGUAACACUAACUGGAGGACCGAACCGACUAAUGUUGAAAAAUUAGCGGAUGACUUGUGGCUGGGGGUGAAAGGCCAAUCAAACCGGGAGAUAGCUGGUUCUCCCCGAAAGCUAUUUAGGUAGCGCCUCGUGAACUCAUCUUCGGGGGUAGAGCACUGUUUCGGCUAGGGGGUCAUCCCGACUUACCAACCCGAUGCAAACUACGAAUACCGAAGAAUGUUAUCACGGGAGACACACGGCGGGUGCUAACGUCCGUCGUGAAGAGGGAAACAACCCAGACCGCCAGCUAAGGUCCCAAAGUCAUGGUUAAGUGGGAAACGAUGUGGGAAGGCACAGACAGCCAGGAUGUUGGCUUAGAAGCAGCCAUCAUUUAAAGAAAGCGUAAUAGCUCACUGGUCGAGUCGGCCUGCGCGGAAGAUGUAACGGGGCUAAACCAUGCACCGAAGCUGCGGCAGCGACACUAUGUGUUGUUGGGUAGGGGAGCGUUCUGUAAGCCUGCGAAGGUGACCUGUGAGGGUUGCUGGAGGUAUCAGAAGUGCGAAUGCUGACAUAAGUAACGAUAAAGCGGGUGAAAAGCCCGCUCGCCGGAAGACCAAGGGUUCCUGUCCAACGUUAAUCGGGGCAGGGUGAGUCGACCCCUAAGGCGAGGCCGAAAGGCGUAGUCGAUGGGAAACAGGUUAAUAUUCCUGUACUUGGUGUUACUGCGAAGGGGGGACGGAGAAGGCUAUGUUAGCCGGGCGACGGUUGUCCCGGUUUAAGCAUGUAGGCUGGUUAUCCAGGCAAAUCCGGAUAAUCAAGGCUGAGGUGUGAUGACGAAGCACUACGGUGCUGAAGUAACAAAUGCCCUGCUUCCAGGAAAAGCCUCUAAGCAUCAGGUAACAUCAAAUCGUACCCCAAACCGACACAGGUGGUCAGGUAGAGAAUACCAAGGCGCUUGAGAGAACUCGGGUGAAGGAACUAGGCAAAAUGGUGCCGUAACUUCGGGAGAAGGCACGCUGGUGUGUAGGUGAAGCCCCUGCGGGUGGAGCUGAGACCAGUCGAAGAUACCAGCUGGCUGCAACUGUUUAUUAAAAACACAGCACUGUGCAAACACGAAAGUGGACGUAUACGGUGUGACGCCUGCCCGGUGCCGGAAGGUUAAUUGAUGGGGUUAUCCGUAAGGAGAAGCUCUUGAUCGAAGCCCCGGUAAACGGCGGCCGUAACUAUAACGGUCCUAAGGUAGCGAAAUUCCUUGUCGGGUAAGUUCCGACCUGCACGAAUGGCGUAAUGAUGGCCAGGCUGUCUCCACCCGAGACUCAGUGAAAUUGAACUCGCUGUGAAGAUGCAGUGUACCCGCGGCAAGACGGAAAGACCCCGUGAACCUUUACUAUAGCUUGACACUGAACAUUGAGCCUUGAUGUGUAGGAUAGGUGGGAGGCUUUGAAGCGUGGACGCCAGUCUGCGUGGAGCCAACCUUGAAAUACCACCCUUUAAUGUUUGAUGUUCUAACGUUGGCCCCUUAUCGGGGUUGCGGACAGUGUCUGGUGGGUAGUUUGACUGGGGCGGUCUCCUCCCAAAGCGUAACGGAGGAGCACGAAGGUUAGCUAAUCCUGGUCGGACAUCAGGAGGUUAGUGCAAUGGCAUAAGCUAGCUUGACUGCGAGCGUGACGGCGCGAGCAGGUGCGAAAGCAGGUCAUAGUGAUCCGGUGGUUCUGAAUGGAAGGGCCAUCGCUCAACGGAUAAAAGGUACUCCGGGGAUAACAGGCUGAUACCGCCCAAGAGUUCAUAUCGACGGCGGUGUUUGGCACCUCGAUGUCGGCUCAUCACAUCCUGGGGCUGAAGUAGGUCCCAAGGGUAUGGCUGUUCGCCAUUUAAAGUGGUACGCGAGCUGGGUUUAGAACGUCGUGAGACAGUUCGGUCCCUAUCUGCCGUGGGCGCUGGAGAAUUGAGGGGGGCUGCUCCUAGUACGAGAGGACCGGAGUGGACGCAUCACUGGUGUUCGGGUUGUCAUGCCAAUGGCACUGCCCGGUAGCUAAAUGCGGAAGAGAUAAGUGCUGAAAGCAUCUAAGCACGAAACUUGCCCCGAGAUGAGUUCU